GAUGAACGCUGGCGGCGUGCCUAAUACAUGCAAGUCGAGCGAACAGACGAGGAGCUUGCUCCUCUGACGUUAGCGGCGGACGGGUGAGUAACACGUGGAUAACCUACCUAUAAGACUGGGAUAACUUCGGGAAACCGGAGCUAAUACCGGAUAAUAUAUUGAACCGCAUGGUUCAAUAGUGAAAGACGGUUUUGCUGUCACUUAUAGAUGGAUCCGCGCCGCAUUAGCUAGUUGGUAAGGUAACGGCUUACCAAGGCAACGAUGCGUAGCCGACCUGAGAGGGUGAUCGGCCACACUGGGACUGAGACACGGUCCAGACUCCUACGGGAGGCAGCAGUAGGGAAUCUUCCGCAAUGGGCGAAAGCCUGACGGAGCAACGCCGCGUGAGUGAUGAAGGUCUUCGGAUCGUAAAACUCUGUUAUUAGGGAAGAACAAAUGUGUAAGUAACUAUGCACGUCUUGACGGUACCUAAUCAGAAGGCCACGGCUAACUACGUG
RNAcentral lists this ribosomal RNA (497 nucleotides) under uncultured bacterium. RNAcentral describes it as "partial 16S ribosomal RNA". It matches the Rfam family "Bacterial small subunit ribosomal RNA", at positions 28 to 507 of the family's 1533-position model. The record is from RNAcentral.